GGCGGACGGGUGAGUAACACGUGAGCAACCUGCCUAUCAGAGGGGGAUAACGAUUGGAAACGAUCGCUAAUACCGCAUGACAUAGCGGAACCGCAUGGUUCUGUUAUCAAAGAUUUUAUCGCUGAUAGAUGGGCUCGCGUCCGAUUAGAUAGUUGGUGGGGUAACGGCCUACCAAGUCGACGAUCGGUAGCCGGACUGAGAGGUCGAACGGCCACAUUGGGACUGAGACACGGCCCAGACUCCUACGGGAGGCAGCAGUGGGGGAUAUUGCACAAUGGGGGAAACCCUGAUGCAGCGACGCCGCGUGAGGGAAGACGG
This 318-nucleotide ribosomal RNA is filed under the name uncultured bacterium. RNAcentral describes it as "bacterial SSU rRNA". It matches the Rfam family "Bacterial small subunit ribosomal RNA", at positions 97 to 414 of the family's 1533-position model. The record is from RNAcentral.